GCUUACGAUGAAAUCAAUCUUUGCUGUUAACUUCACUGGAACCUUGGUGAAACCUCUAAAAAAAUCUGAAAAGCCAGUGCAUUUAAAAAAGCUACCAGUCGGAAAGGGGUGGCAGACGGCAGGUCAACUCCACGUCUCCACGGAAACAGCCCUGCCUCCUGGGGCGGUCACGGCCCAGACCGGCAGCGGACCCGGACUGUUCUGUAUGUCCGCCGCCCGACCGGGGCCGCAGCACAGAGGGUCAGCCGCAGGGCGCCCGAGAUGAGCGGACCGGCCGCGCGACCCGCCCCAGGCGUGGCGCCUCAGAACAGCACCGAAGCCUUGUUGUACUUCAGGAGAGAGCAGAGACCAAGGAGCAGAGGCGUUCAAAUGGAACAGACCCAACAGUGCAGUCCCAGUUCUGCCUGCCAGAGUUUCACUAUGCAGUUCAAGCUGGCCUUCAGCUCACUUUAUGAUUUAUAUAAGCUGUUACAGCCGCAAGGAAGAAUGGAACAUUCUGAAGUAAUGAAGUUUAUAAUCAUUUGUCAUAGAAAGAAACUGGAGAAACACACCUAUGAGGAAGCUGGAUCUUGAGAUUCUGGUUAAGAUUUUUCAUAUCAUUUGUCAAACCAAAACAAAUAUACAUCUGAACCUUUUUGUUAUCCAAAACUUCAAGAAUAAUAAUGGCUACUGCUAUUUCUAUUUAACUCCUUUCCUACAUCCAAAAAAGUUUAUACUGCAGUUAAUUAUCUCAGAAAAGAUGAGUCAAACACAAUUAAAGACAUAACAAAUCUUAGGCACAAGAUGAAAAUGAAGAUGCACAGAUUUCAAACCUUACCCGUUUGAGAUGAAUUGUUUUCAGCGUCACGGCACACUCAGAGAGCGCCUGUGAAAAAAAAAUUGUAGAGUUUUAAUAUGGUCACUUUGUGAUUACUGAUCCAACUUUAUAUUUCCCUACUGUCUGCUAGAAAAUAGAUAACUCAUUGCAUGGGACUGAUAAAAAAACAACUGUUUCACAUAAAAUAUUCCAGAGAUGAAAUUCUGAGAAAUUAUCAUAUAGAAGAAGAAAGUGGACAUUUAAUGUUCUUAAUAGCUAAGGAAAACCAUUAAUUUAAAGUAAGAGGACUGGAGAUGUAGCUCACUGUAGACCCUGGGUUUAAUGCCCAGCACCCCAAAUAGAUGAAGUCGUAAUUUAAAAAUCACUGAACUGAAAGAAAGAAAAAGCAAAUGAAAGAAACAAAAUAUAGUCAUCCUGGCACUAAAGAAAAUAUGCACAUAUGAGAUUGACACAAAGCGAAUAAAGAUUCUGAAGCACUUACCAAUAC
Cavia porcellus (domestic guinea pig) is the source of this 1304-nucleotide long non-coding RNA. RefSeq lists it as uncharacterized. The record is from RefSeq and is a predicted model, not a curated record. The transcript is spliced from 3 exons. Lineage: Eukaryota; Metazoa; Chordata; Mammalia; Rodentia; Caviidae.